GUGCUCGCUCUGGCAGCACAUAUACUAAAAUUGGAACGGCAUGGAGAAGAUUAGCAUGGCCCCUGUGCAAGGAUGAUACACAAAUUUGUGAAGCGUUCUCUAUUUUU
Molecule: small nuclear RNA, 107 nt
Filed under: Rhinopithecus bieti (black snub-nosed monkey)
Lineage: Eukaryota; Metazoa; Chordata; Mammalia; Primates; Cercopithecidae
Source: RNAcentral